RNAcentral lists this ribosomal RNA (403 nucleotides) under uncultured prokaryote. RNAcentral describes it as "bacterial SSU rRNA". It matches the Rfam family "Bacterial small subunit ribosomal RNA", at positions 355 to 774 of the family's 1533-position model. The record is from RNAcentral.
UAGGGAAUAUUGGACAAUGGGCGAAAGCCUGAUCCAGCAACGCCGCGUGCGCGAUGACGGCCUUCGGGUUGUAAAGCGCUUUUAGAGGAGAUGAGAAAGGACAGUAUCCUCUGAAUAAGCCUCGGCGAACUACGUGCCAGCAGCCGCGGUAAAACGUAGGAGGCUAGCGUUAUCCGGAUGUAUUGGGCGUAAAGCGCGUGCAGGCGGUCUAGUAAGUUGGAUGUGAAAGCUCCUGGCUUAACUGGGAGAGGUCGUUCAAAACUGCUAGACUAGAGAAUGGGAGAGGGAGGUGGAAUUCCGGGUGUAGUGGUGAAAUGCGUAGAUAUCCGGAGGAACACCAGUGGCGAAGGCGGCCUCCUAGACCAUUUCUGACGCUAAGACGCGAAAGCUAGGGUAGCAAACG